Molecule: long non-coding RNA, 436 nt
Filed under: Cavia porcellus (domestic guinea pig)
Lineage: Eukaryota; Metazoa; Chordata; Mammalia; Rodentia; Caviidae
Description: lncRNA (ENSCPOG00000034596.1)
Source: RNAcentral
AUUAGCCAUACAUUUAUUCUGCUGCUUUUGCAUCUCCUAUGGUUGGGUGUGAAAGGAGCCUUGGCUCUGCUUGGGUUUAACUGAAUGUAAACACCCCUCCCGCCAUGCACACAUCACAUACCCUCACUAUUUUUCUUCUCCAUGUCUUCUUGCCUUUUCUUGUCCCCAGUACGUAUCAAUGCCUAAGGGACACAACAAAAUAUCCUGGCUUCUUGGCUGAGAAGUGUUGUCUCCUGUGACCUUCUUGGCAAAGAGACCCCAGCUGGCUCCCAAGGUCAAGAUGGAAUACUUAAUGAACAGAGCAACCAAGGUCCCAAAGUCACAAUUCAGACCAGGAAUUGGAUUUGUUCUUUUUUUUCAAUCGGGGGAUCGAACUCAUGACCGCCUGCUUGCAAGAGAAUUCCAGAAAGGUUUCAUGGAGAGCGAGGUAUUUCAG